This 418-nucleotide ribosomal RNA is filed under the name Salmonella enterica subsp. enterica serovar Infantis. RNAcentral's name for it is "bacterial SSU rRNA". It matches the Rfam family "Bacterial small subunit ribosomal RNA", at positions 1097 to 1515 of the family's 1533-position model. RNAcentral also lists the same sequence under 3 other names. The record is from RNAcentral. Lineage: Bacteria; Pseudomonadati; Pseudomonadota; Gammaproteobacteria; Enterobacterales; Enterobacteriaceae.
CGCAACCCUUAUCCUUUGUUGCCAGCGGUCCGGCCGGGAACUCAAAGGAGACUGCCAGUGAUAAACUGGAGGAAGGUGGGGAUGACGUCAAGUCAUCAUGGCCCUUACGACCAGGGCUACACACGUGCUACAAUGGCGCAUACAAAGAGAAGCGACCUCGCGAGAGCAAGCGGACCUCAUAAAGUGCGUCGUAGUCCGGAUUGGAGUCUGCAACUCGACUCCAUGAAGUCGGAAUCGCUAGUAAUCGUGGAUCAGAAUGCCACGGUGAAUACGUUCCCGGGCCUUGUACACACCGCCCGUCACACCAUGGGAGUGGGUUGCAAAAGAAGUAGGUAGCUUAACCUUCGGGAGGGCGCUUACCACUUUGUGAUUCAUGACUGGGGUGAAGUCGUAACAAGGUAACCGUAGGGGAACCUGC